RNAcentral lists this ribosomal RNA (395 nucleotides) under uncultured bacterium. RNAcentral's name for it is "partial 16S ribosomal RNA". It matches the Rfam family "Bacterial small subunit ribosomal RNA", at positions 523 to 918 of the family's 1533-position model. The record is from RNAcentral.
AUACGUAGGGUGCAAGCGUUAAUCGGAAUUACUGGGCGUAAAGCGUGCGCAGGCGGUUUUUUAAGACAGAGGGGAAAUCCCCGGGCUCAACCUGGGGACUGCCUUUGUGACUGCAAGGCUAGAGGACGGCAGAGGGGGAUGGAAAUUCGCUUGUAGCAGUGAAAUGCGUAGAUAUGCGGAGGAACACCGAUGGCGAAGGCAAUCCCCUGGGCCUGUACUGACGCUCAUGCACGAAAGCGUGGGGAGCAAACAGGAUUAGAUACCCUGGUAGUCCACGCCCUAAACGAUGUCAACUGGUUGUUGGGUCUUCAUUGACUCAGUAACGAAGCUAACGCGUGAAGUUGACCGCCUGGGGAGUACGGCCGCAAGGUUGAAACUCAAAUGAAUUGACGGGG